GGUGCUAAAUUCGGCAGCAUAUACUAAAAUUGGAACUAUAUGGAGAAGAUUAGCAUGACCCCUGUGCAGGGAUGAUAUGUAAAUAUGUGAAGCGUUCCAUGUUUUU
This is a small nuclear RNA of Dipodomys ordii (Ord's kangaroo rat), 106 nucleotides long. The record is from Ensembl. Lineage: Eukaryota; Metazoa; Chordata; Mammalia; Rodentia; Heteromyidae.